GGGAGGAGCGCACCUGAGGAGGGGGUACGCCUGAGAGGAGGGUUGUGUCGCUUAGAGGAGCAUAGCUGAGGCGGGGGGAGUGUACCUGUGGGGUGAGAGCGUUGAAGGAGCACGGCUUCCCUAGAGCAGAGCCGGGGUUUCCUCGCUGUUUAGCACAUCCUGAGGGGACUGGAUUUAAGCAGGAGCUGUCAAGCAUUGGAACAGGCUGCUCAAAGAAGUGAUUGAAUCACCAGCCCUGCAGGCAUUUAUAAGUCGUGAGGAUGUGGCACUCAAAGACAUGGUUGAGUGGUGGACUGGGCAGUGUUGGGUUAACAGCUGGACUUCAUGAAAUUAGAAGCCUUUUCCAACCUGAAUAAAUCUACAUGAUGCACUCAAGAACUACUCAAAAAGAAGAACUACCACGUUCUUGAUGGUGAUGAGACAAGAAAAUAUGGAAAAAACCAACAUACCCUAGGGAAAAGAAAAAAGCUACAGAGUUCCAGCAUGCUUCUACAGCAUCAAGUGUUAUUUUUUACAGCUAAAUAAUAAUAAUAACGAAACAGAUGCAAGAGUGGUAACAUACAGGAAAUACUUAUGUAAUAUGAAAAGGUUGCUUGGUGAGAUUAAUGCCAAAAGGACACCACAUAAAUCAUUGUCAAAGCAGCUUGGCCCUAUGUUCCUAAUAAUUUUUUAAAAGCCAUCUAUUUUUAAAAAGGUUAAAGCAAUUUUUAUUCCUCUAUAGCUUGCAUGAAGAUGAUGUUUCUAUAUUUUAUUUUUCCUCUACACAAUGCAUGUUCAACAGCAAGGAGAGACAGGGAAUUAGUA
This is a long non-coding RNA of Poecile atricapillus (Black-capped chickadee), 804 nucleotides long. RefSeq lists it as uncharacterized. The transcript has 3 exons. NCBI's taxonomy places the organism in Eukaryota, Metazoa, Chordata, Aves, Passeriformes, Paridae. The record is from RefSeq and is a predicted model, not a curated record.